CAAAAGCAAGGAAGACAAACGUGGUACACCAAGGCUAACCACGUAGCCCAGAAAACUACAAAUCAUGACACAAGCAAAGCAAAAGCACUGACUUGGUGGCCCAGGCAGGCCAUCCCGGGAGAGAACAAGCACUAUGGAAGGAGGGGCCUGAGAAGCCCAUCUAAGAUGCCUCACCCUCAAAUUGGCGAUAGUUGCUGCCACAUGGGCAGCUUUGUUGGCAGUGCGAGGAAUCCAUGCCCGUUGAAUGGAUGAGCAUGUGUUUAAUUAUUUAUGUCCUAAACCCUAAACUUUGUUUAUUUAUUUAUGUACAACGUGCGUUUAAUUUGAAAGUGGGUAACGAUUUGGUUUUAACAUAUUGGUCCUUUUUUUGGGUCGUAGGUUUU
Molecule: long non-coding RNA, 383 nt
Filed under: Prunus persica (peach)
Lineage: Eukaryota; Viridiplantae; Streptophyta; Magnoliopsida; Rosales; Rosaceae
Description: long non-coding RNA (PPER_LNC007181)
Source: RNAcentral